This 107-nucleotide ribosomal RNA is filed under the name uncultured eukaryote. RNAcentral's name for it is "partial small subunit ribosomal RNA". It matches the Rfam family "Eukaryotic small subunit ribosomal RNA", at positions 1676 to 1785 of the family's 1831-position model. The record is from RNAcentral.
UCGCUACUACCGAUUGAAUGGCUUAGUGAGGCCUACGGAUUUGGACCAUGGUCGCAAGACUGUGAGUUUGGAGAAGCCGGUCAAACUUGGUCAUUUAGAGGAAGUAA